Molecule: ribosomal RNA, 500 nt
Filed under: uncultured bacterium
Lineage: Bacteria
Description: partial 16S ribosomal RNA
Rfam family: Bacterial small subunit ribosomal RNA
Source: RNAcentral
GACGAACGCUGGCGGCGUGCCUAAUACAUGCAAGUCGAGCGGACUGAUUAAGAGCUUGCUCUUAUGACGUUAGCGGCGGACGGGUGAGUAACACGUGGGCAACCUGCCCUGUAGAUCGGGAUAACACCGAGAAAUCGGUGCUAAUACCGGGUAAUAUCUGAGAUCACAUGAUCUUAGGUUAAAAGAUGGCUCCGGCUAUCACUACAGGAUGGGCCCGCGGCGCAUUAGCUAGUUGGUAAGGUAAUGGCUUACCAAGGCGACGAUGCGUAGCCGACCUGAGAGGGUGAUCGGCCACACUGGGACUGAGACACGGCCCAGACUCCUACGGGAGGCAGCAGUAGGGAAUCUUCCGCAAUGGACGAAAGUCUGACGGAGCAACGCCGCGUGAGUGAUGAAGGGUUUCGGCUCGUAAAGCUCUGUUGUUAGGGAAGAAGCAGUACCGAACGAACUAGGUCGGUACCUUGACGGUACCUAACCAGAAAGCCACGGCUAACUACGUG